This 275-nucleotide long non-coding RNA is filed under the name Lathyrus oleraceus (garden pea). RNAcentral's name for it is "Pisum sativum (pea) long non-coding RNA (PSAT_LNC007404)". The record is from RNAcentral. Lineage: Eukaryota; Viridiplantae; Streptophyta; Magnoliopsida; Fabales; Fabaceae.
AUUAAUUGUUAUCUCUUGAGGAACAUAGGCUUUCUUCAAGAUCUUCAGUAAAGCCUCUCUAUGCCCCUCAGAGCUUAACAGCAACGAUAAGAUCGAAAUUUUGGAAGGAGUUUGCUGCAGAUGGUCAACCAAUUUGUACUCAGAUUUCUUGAUGAUUCUUAAAAAUUCCUCUGCAUCAUCAUCAAGCUUUUCUUCCGACCCCGCAGGCGCCGGUAUCGAUACUGGAGUAUCAUUGUUCACCACUGCUUUCCCUUUUGCCCUGGCUAAAGCCUCGG